UUGCACCGGGUGGAUGAGUGGCGAACGGGUGAGUAACACGUGAGUAACCUGCCCCCGAUUUCGGGAUAAGCCCGGGAAACUGGGUCUAAUACCGGAUAUGACCAGAGGACGCAUGUUCUGUGGUGGAAAGUUUUUCGAUCGGGGAUGGGCUCGCGGCCUAUCAGCUUGUUGGUGGGGUAAUGGCCUACCAAGGCGACGACGGGUAGCCGGCCUGAGAGGGCGACCGGCCACACUGGGACUGAGACACGGCCCAGACUCCUACGGGAGGCAGCAGUGGGGAAUAUUGCACAAUGGGGGAAACCCUGAUGCAGCGACGCAGCGUGCGGGAUGACGGCCUUCGGGUUGUAAACCGCUUUCAGCAGGGAAGAAGCGAAAGUGACGGUACCUGCAGAAGAAGUACCGGCUAACUACGUGCCAGCAGCCGCGGUAAUACGUAGGGUACGAGCGUUGUCCGGAAUUAUUGGGCGUAAAGAGCUCGUAGGUGGUUGGUCACGUCUGCUGUGGAAACGCAACGCUUAACGUUGCGCGGGCAGUGGGUACGGGCUGACUAGAGUGCAGUAGGGGAGUCUGGAAUUCCUGGUGUAGCGGUGAAAUGCGCAGAUAUCAGGAGGAACACCGGUGGCGAAGGCGGGACUCUGGGCUGUAACUGACACUGAGGAGCGAAAGCAUGGGGAGCGAACAGGAUUAGAUACCCUGGUAGUCCAUGCCGUAAACGUUGGGCACUAGGUGUGGGG
This 734-nucleotide ribosomal RNA is filed under the name Brevibacterium aureum. RNAcentral's name for it is "bacterial SSU rRNA". It matches the Rfam family "Bacterial small subunit ribosomal RNA", at positions 78 to 827 of the family's 1533-position model. The record is from RNAcentral. Lineage: Bacteria; Bacillati; Actinomycetota; Actinomycetes; Micrococcales; Brevibacteriaceae.